UACAGAGGUCGCAAGCGUUGUUCGGAUUCAUUGGGCGUAAAGGGCGCGUAGGCGGCGUGGUAAGUCGGGUGUGAAAUCUUGGAGCUUAACUCCGAAACUGCAUUCGAUACUGCCGUGCUUGAGGACUGGAGAGGAGACUGGAAUUUACGGUGUAGCGGUGAAAUGCGUAGAUAUCGGAAGGAAGACCAGUGGCGAAGGCGGGUCUCUGGACAGUUCCUGACGCUGAGACGCGAAGGCCAGGGGAGCAAACGGG
RNAcentral lists this ribosomal RNA (253 nucleotides) under uncultured bacterium. Its description in RNAcentral is "partial 16S ribosomal RNA". It matches the Rfam family "Bacterial small subunit ribosomal RNA", at positions 524 to 776 of the family's 1533-position model. The record is from RNAcentral.